Molecule: ribosomal RNA, 684 nt
Filed under: Triticum aestivum (bread wheat)
Lineage: Eukaryota; Viridiplantae; Streptophyta; Magnoliopsida; Poales; Poaceae
Description: partial small subunit ribosomal RNA
Source: RNAcentral
AUGCCGAUCAUCGAAGAGUUGCUGGACGAGCUGCACGGUGCAGCCUGGUUCUCCAAACUGGAUCUACGCUCGGGCUAUCACCAGAUUCGCUUGGCAGAAGGGGAAGAGUACAAGACCGCAUUCCAGACACAUUCCGGCCACUACGAGUUCUUGGUGGUUUCCUUCGGGUUAGCGGGUGGACCAGCCAUGUUCAACGGAGCACUGACAACCACCCUGAAACCAGUCAACUGCAAGUGUGUACUCCUCUUCUUCGAUGACAUCCUCGUGUUCAGCAAGACUCUGCGAGACCACAUCAAUCACCUGCGACAAGUUCUGCAGCUUUUGUGCCGAGACCAAUGGCACAUGAAGAUGUCCAAGUGCGAGUUUGGCCAGCACAGCCUAUCAUACCUGGGACACAUCAUUAGCGAUCAGGGGGUGUCCACGGACCCAACCAAGAUACAGGCGGUAUCCAACUGGACGACUCCAACUGAUGUCAAAGCAGUUCGCAACUUCUUGGGGCUCGCUAGGUACUAUCAAAGAUUCGUCAGGAACUUUGGAGUCAUAGCCCGUCCACUAUUCAAUCUCCUGAAGAAAGGGACGCCGUUCAUUUGGACACCAGCCACAGAUACAACAUUCCAGCUCCUCAAACAACAGCUGAUCGAAACACCAAUUCUGGCGCUGCCAACUUCACCAAACCAUUCGUGA